This 260-nucleotide ribosomal RNA is filed under the name uncultured bacterium. RNAcentral describes it as "partial 16S ribosomal RNA". It matches the Rfam family "Bacterial small subunit ribosomal RNA", at positions 793 to 1055 of the family's 1533-position model. The record is from RNAcentral.
GUCCACGCCCUAAACGAUGCUCACUAGGUGUUGGGAAGCGAUUCCUUGGUACCGUAGCUAACGCGUGAAGUGAGCCGCCUGGGGAGUACGGCCGCAAGGUUAAACUCAAAGGAAUUGACGGGACCCGCACAAGCGGUGGAUGAUGUGGAUUAAUUCGAUGCAACGCGAACAACCUUACCUACCCUUGACAUGUCCGGAAGCCUGCUGAAAGGCGGGGUGCUCGAAAGAGAACCGGAACACAGGUGCUGCAUGGCUGUCGU